UAUGGCCACAUCACCUUGAAGCACAGGUUCUCAUCUGAACACUGAAAUUAAGCAACAUUAAGCCUAGUCAGUAUCUAGAUGUGUGAUCACUUGGGAAUAUGAGGAACUGUAAG
Non-coding RNA from Acanthosepion pharaonis, 113 nucleotides. The record is from the annotation of a GenBank genome assembly. NCBI's taxonomy places the organism in Eukaryota, Metazoa, Mollusca, Cephalopoda, Sepiida, Sepiidae.